UUCGACUACCUAUUUUUUUGGAAACCAGUGUAUCACAUAGUUAUUACACAACUUAAUUCCUUUAAGAAUUGGAUUAAAGAAUCAAUUACAUGUAGGGUAUUGUCUAAAGGAGCAGAUAACAUAAAAAUUGAAGUUGCUAAUACUCAACUUGUGAUGAUACUUAAAUAGUUAAUCUCAUCUUUGAACCAAAGAAUGCAGUAGUAGUAAUUUCUAUUGCAUCAGAAUAGCAUGAUGGCUUCAUAUAUAUAAUCUUAAUAGCUAAUUACUAGUAUUAACAUAAUCAUACAAAUGUAUUAAAGGAGUAACACAGUUCAGUUUAGUUAAGUCUGAGUUCAUGAAAGCUAGUCAUAGACCUUACCUUACUCUAGUAAACCCCUUGUAACUAACCGUCUCAGUUCUAACAGUUAGAACAGUUGUAACCAAGUUGAUUGACAAGUGUCAGUCAGUCAGGUGUAGACUGUAUUCCUGUCUUAUUCAAGUACCAUUGCCAUGAAAUGCGCUGAAUUUUGUCCACUGUUUCCUCUACCACUCCAUUGACAUUGUUGAACACUCGGUCAUUUCGAACCCUCCAAAUAACCCACACUUAGGCUAACCACACAAUCGAGAAUCCCUUCCGAAUCUUCUU
Molecule: long non-coding RNA, 625 nt
Filed under: Trifolium pratense (red clover)
Lineage: Eukaryota; Viridiplantae; Streptophyta; Magnoliopsida; Fabales; Fabaceae
Description: long non-coding RNA (TPRA_LNC010726)
Source: RNAcentral